RNAcentral lists this ribosomal RNA (490 nucleotides) under uncultured bacterium. RNAcentral's name for it is "partial 16S ribosomal RNA". It matches the Rfam family "Bacterial small subunit ribosomal RNA", at positions 29 to 507 of the family's 1533-position model. The record is from RNAcentral.
AGUGAACGCUGGCGGUAGGCCUAACACAUGCAAGUCGAACGGCAGCACAGGAGAGCUUGCUCUCUGGGUGGCGAGUGGCGGACGGGUGAGGAAUGCAUCGGAAUCUACUCUUUCGUGGGGGAUAACGUAGGGAAACUUACGCUAAUACCGCAUACGACCUACGGGUGAAAGCCGGGGACCUUCGGGCCUGGCGCGAAUGAAUGAGCCGAUGCCCGAUUAGCUAGUUGGCGGGGUAAGAGCCCACCAAGGCGACGAUCGGUAGCUGGUCUGAGAGGAUGAUUCGGCACACCUGAAAUGAGACACGGGCCCGACUCCUAAGGGAGGGCGGAGUUGGGAAUAAUUGACCAUGGGCGCCAGCCUGAUCCCGCCAUACCGCGUGGGUGGAGAAGGCCCUCCGGUUGGAAAGCCCUUUUGUUGGGAAAGAAAAGCAGCUGGUUAAUACCCGGUUGUUCUGACGGUACCCAAAGAAUAAGCACCGGCUAACUUCGUG